AUUGAACGCUGGCGGCAUGCCUUACAAGCAAGUCGAACGGUAACAGGUCUUCGGAUGCUGACGAGUGGCGAACGGGUGAGUAAUACAUCGGAACGUGCCUAGUAGUGGGGGAUAACUACUCGAAAGAGUGGCUAAUACCGCAUGAGAUCUACGGAUGAAAGCAGGGGAACGCAAGACCUUGUGCUACUAGAGCGGCCGAUGGCAGAUUAGGUAGUUGGUGGGAUAAAAGCUUACCAAGCCGACGAUCUGUAGCUGGUCUGAGAGGACGAUCAGCCACACUGGGGCUGAGACACGGCCCAGACUCCUACGGGAGGCAGCAGUGGGGAAUUUUGGACAAUGGGCGAAAGCCUGAUCCAGCAAUGCCGCGUGCAGGAUGAAGGCCUUCGGGUUGUAAACUGCUUUUGUACGGAACGAAAAGCCCUGGGUUAAUACCCUGGGGUCAUGACGGUACCGUAAGAAUAAGCACCGGCUAACUACGUGCCAGCCGCCGCCGUAA
This 496-nucleotide ribosomal RNA is filed under the name uncultured bacterium. RNAcentral's name for it is "partial 16S ribosomal RNA". It matches the Rfam family "Bacterial small subunit ribosomal RNA", at positions 30 to 523 of the family's 1533-position model. The record is from RNAcentral.